Molecule: ribosomal RNA, 468 nt
Filed under: uncultured bacterium
Lineage: Bacteria
Description: partial 16S ribosomal RNA
Rfam family: Bacterial small subunit ribosomal RNA
Source: RNAcentral
GACGAACGCUGGCGGCGUGCUUAACACAUGCAAGUCGAACGGAAAGGCCCUGCUUGUGUGGGGUGCUCGAGUGGCGAACGGGUGAGUAACACGUGAGUAACCUGCCCUUGACUUUGGGAUAACUUCAGGAAAGUGGGGCUAAUACCGGAUAGGAGCUGCUGCUGCAGGGGGGGGGUUGGAAAGUUUCGGCGGUUGGGGAUGGACUCGCGGCUUAUCAGCUUGUUGGUGGGGUAGUGGCUUACCAAGGCUUUGACGGGUAGCCGGCCUGAGAGGGUGACCGGCCACAUUGGGACUGAGAUACGGCCCAGACUCCUACGGGAGGCAGCAGUGGGGAAUAUUGCACAAUGGGCGGAAGCCUGAUGCAGCAACGCCGCGUGCGGGAUGACGUCCUUCGGGUUGUAAACCGCUUUCGCCUGUGACGAAGCGUGAGUGACGGUAAUGGGUAAAGAAGCACCGGCUAACUACGUG